UCUGUGUAUCAGUAAUGGAGGUUAUGGC
This 28-nucleotide non-coding RNA is filed under the name Bombyx mori (domestic silkworm). The record is from RNAcentral. Lineage: Eukaryota; Metazoa; Arthropoda; Insecta; Lepidoptera; Bombycidae.